GGGGCCUGGAGCCUGGGGGUCGCUCGGGCCACUUCGGAGGUGGGGUGCCCCCGGCCUCUCGGCCUGGGGCUCGGUCACUCAGGCACGGCUGGCUGCCGGCGGAGCUCACGGGCGCGUCACUGCAACUCCCCCUGGCUUCUGCUCCGCGGCUGCUGAGUGAGCCCUCAUCUCUGACUCUCCUCAGCUCUUUCUGGGACAGUGGCGCGGCUGCCCCUCUGUUGGUCUUCCUUGGUCUCUUGUGUUCUGGGGGCCUCUGGAUGUCUGGAGUUUUGAUCUCCUCCAUACCUGCUUCAUGCCCUGGAGGACAGGGCUGUGGCCCCCCCACACCCUAGCAGAUCGUUACAUGAAGGAACCUUUUAAAAAAACAAAAAACAAGCGCGUCCAUGCUCACAGGUGUACACACGGGUGACCACACCCACAAACUACACCCUUUUUGGCUCCUACCUCAAAGCACACUGUGUUCUGUUGAUCUUAUGUGCUGCACAAUAAUGUUUAAUAUUUAGUAUUUACUGUCAUAUUCCCAUAUAUCAUUGUGAUGUUGUUUAUUCUAUUACUCUUGUUCUCUUCUGCUUGUUUUCUUUUUUCUUUCUCAGCAGGUGACCCAGGUGAUUGAUAUAUGCAUUUUUUUUCUUUUUUUUUUCUGCCCGUUCUGUUGGUUUUUGUUUUUUGCCCUUCUCCCCCGUCCCUCUUCUCAGCUGUUUCUCUUUCCCUCUUUCUUUCUCCCCUUCUUUCCCCCAGUCAAGUCUGUCCCGUAUUCAGUAAGUGAAAAUAAAAUGAACAAUAAAAGGUGAAUCAAAUGGACCAUUACGGCAAGGCUGGGAUGGUCAGUUUGGUAAAGUAAAUCCGUUGGGCAUCUUUCUUUGCCUUUAGACAACAAUUCUGAUGGCAAAAGAGCCAAACGGGACAGGCAAAAAAAAAAAAAAAAAAGAGUGGUAGGUUGACAAGCCUAUGUGAUGGGAUAAAGAGACCGGAGUAUUUAUAAACCUUGGGAAAAACCUUUGGAAUCAGGUCUUUCCAGGGCGAAUUAAGGUAUAACAAGGUUAUCUUAGAGAUCAAAUCUAAUAUUGAAUGGUGAAGACAUUUAUCUGAAUUGUUGCCUAAUGUAUAUCAGAUGAUCUUUAGCUCAUUUAACCAUUUACAGUUAUAGC
This is a long non-coding RNA of Astatotilapia calliptera (eastern happy), 1148 nucleotides long. Lineage: Eukaryota; Metazoa; Chordata; Actinopteri; Cichliformes; Cichlidae. The record is from Ensembl.